RNAcentral lists this ribosomal RNA (355 nucleotides) under uncultured bacterium. RNAcentral's name for it is "bacterial SSU rRNA". It matches the Rfam family "Bacterial small subunit ribosomal RNA", at positions 32 to 359 of the family's 1533-position model. The record is from RNAcentral.
AAUCAACGCUGGCGGCGUGCCUCAGACAUGCAAGUCGAACGCGAAAUUUCCCUUCGGGGGAGAAAGUAGAGUGGCGCACGGGUGAGUAACACGUAGGUAAUUUGCCUUUGGGUGGGGAAUAACUCAGGGAAACUUGAGCUAAUACCGCAUAAUGCAGCGGCUCGACAUCGAGACAGUUGUUAAAGCGGGGGAUUGGAGCAAUCCGACCUCGCGCCUAAAGAGAAGCCUGCGGCAGAUUAGCUAGUUGGUAAGGUAAUGGCUUACCAAGGCGACGAUCUGUAACCGGCCUGAGAGGGCGGUCGGUCACACUGACACUGACAUACGGGUCAGACUCCUACGGGAGGCAGCAGUCGGG